AUGAUGGAUGGCGCGACUCCGGUGUCCUUGGCGCUGCUCGCCGUUUUAGCUCGAUUUGGUGCCACUUUAGUACAUCAGAUGCGCGGAGCUGGACGGGAUUACAAGGAGUGGCCGCACCAGUAUCCAUUGCACUGGGACCUCGAGCACCAGUACCCAUUGCCCUGGGAUCUCGUCGUCCAAGCAAUAGUUCAGCGCGCCCACCAACGAGCCCGCUCACUCGACAUGGUGACACGGGCACAACCUGCAUCAAGGGCACCGACGCCUGGAUCAGGCCGGUGGGGAGAGAAAGGGGUAGGGGACGCCUGGAUCAGGCAGGUGGGGAGAGAAAGGGGUAGGGGAGGCUAG
Molecule: ribosomal RNA, 345 nt
Filed under: Triticum aestivum (bread wheat)
Lineage: Eukaryota; Viridiplantae; Streptophyta; Magnoliopsida; Poales; Poaceae
Description: partial small subunit ribosomal RNA
Source: RNAcentral